CCUACGGGAGACAGCAGUGGGGAAUAUUGCGCAAUGGGCGAAAGCCUGACGCAGCGACGCCGCGUGAGGGAUGAAGGUCUUCGGAUCGUAAACCUCUGUCAGCAGGGAAGAACGGUCACUGUGCUAAUCAGCAGUGAAUUGACGGUACCUGCAAAGGAAGCACCGGCUAACUCCGUGCCAGCAGCCGCGGUAAUACGGAGGGUGCGAGCGUUAAUCGGAAUUACUGGGCGUAAAGCGCUCGUAGGCGGUAUGUCAAGUCAAGGGUGAAAUCUCCGGGCUCAACGUGGGAACUGCCUUUGAAACUGGCAAACUGGAGUGUGUGUGAGGAUAGUGGAAUGCCAGGUGUAGGAGUGAAAUCCGUAGAUAUCUGGCGGAACAUCAGUGGCGAAGGCGACUAUCUGGCACAUAACUGACGCUGAGGAGCGAAAGCGUGGGUAGCAAACAGGAUUAGAUACCCGAGUAGUC
RNAcentral lists this ribosomal RNA (465 nucleotides) under uncultured bacterium. RNAcentral describes it as "partial 16S ribosomal RNA". It matches the Rfam family "Bacterial small subunit ribosomal RNA", at positions 338 to 795 of the family's 1533-position model. The record is from RNAcentral.